Molecule: ribosomal RNA, 2904 nt
Filed under: Klebsiella oxytoca
Lineage: Bacteria; Pseudomonadati; Pseudomonadota; Gammaproteobacteria; Enterobacterales; Enterobacteriaceae
Description: bacterial LSU rRNA
Rfam family: Bacterial large subunit ribosomal RNA
Source: RNAcentral
UUAAGCGACUAAGCGUACACGGUGGAUGCCCUGGCAGUCAGAGGCGAUGAAGGACGUGCUAAUCUGCGAAAAGCGUCGGUAAGGUGAUAUGAACCGUUACAGCCGGCGAUGUCCGAAUGGGGAAACCCAGUGCAAUUCGUUGCACUAUCGUUUGAUGAAUACAUAGUCAAACGAGGCGAACCGGGGGAACUGAAACAUCUAAGUACCCCGAGGAAAAGAAAUCAACCGAGAUUCCCCCAGUAGCGGCGAGCGAACGGGGAGCAGCCCGGAGUCUGAAUCAGCUUGUGUGUUAGUGGAAGCGUCUGGAAAGUCGCAGGGUACAGGGUGAUACUCCCGUACACUAAAACACACAGGUUGUGAACUCGAAGAGUAGGGCGGGACACGUGGUAUCCUGUCUGAAUAUGGGGGGACCAUCCUCCAAGGCUAAAUACUCCUGACUGACCGAUAGUGAACCAGUACCGUGAGGGAAAGGCGAAAAGAACCCCGGCGAGGGGAGUGAAAAAGAACCUGAAACCGUGUACGUACAAGCAGUAGGAGCCCACUAGUUGGGUGACUGCGUACCUUUUGUAUAAUGGGUCAGCGACUUAUAUUCUGUAGCAAGGUUAACCGUAUAGGGGAGCCGCAGGGAAACCGAGUCUUAACUGGGCGUUAAGUUGCAGGGUAUAGACCCGAAACCCGGUGAUCUAGCCAUGGGCAGGUUGAAGGUUGGGUAACACUAACUGGAGGACCGAACCGACUAAUGUUGAAAAAUUAGCGGAUGACUUGUGGCUGGGGGUGAAAGGCCAAUCAAACCGGGAGAUAGCUGGUUCUCCCCGAAAGCUAUUUAGGUAGCGCCUCGUGAAUUCAUCUUCGGGGGUAGAGCACUGUUUCGGCUAGGGGGUCAUCCCGACUUACCAACCCGAUGCAAACUACGAAUACCGAAGAAUGUUAUCACGGGAGACACACGGCGGGUGCUAACGUCCGUCGUGAAGAGGGAAACAACCCAGACCGCCAGCUAAGGUCCCAAAGUCAUGGUUAAGUGGGAAACGAUGUGGGAAGGCCCAGACAGCCAGGAUGUUGGCUUAGAAGCAGCCAUCAUUUAAAGAAAGCGUAAUAGCUCACUGGUCGAGUCGGCCUGCGCGGAAGAUGUAACGGGGCUAAACCAUGCACCGAAGCUGCGGCAGCGACACUAUGUGUUGUUGGGUAGGGGAGCGUUCUGUAAGCCGUUGAAGGUGGCCUGUGAGGGUUGCUGGAGGUAUCAGAAGUGCGAAUGCUGACAUAAGUAACGAUAAUGCGGGUGAAAAACCCGCACGCCGGAAGACCAAGGGUUCCUGUCCAACGUUAAUCGGGGCAGGGUGAGUCGACCCCUAAGGCGAGGCCGAAAGGCGUAGUCGAUGGGAAACAGGUUAAUAUUCCUGUACUUGGUGUUACUGCGAAGGGGGGACGGAGAAGGCUAUGUUGGCCGGGCGACGGUUGUCCCGGUUUAAGCAUGUAGGCGGAUGUUCCAGGUAAAUCCGGAGCGUCACUAACGCUGAGGUGUGAUGACGAGGCACUACGGUGCUGAAGUGACAAAUGCCCUGCUUCCAGGAAAAGCCUCUAAGCAUCAGGUAACAUCAAAUCGUACCCCAAACCGACACAGGUGGUCAGGUAGAGAAUACCAAGGCGCUUGAGAGAACUCGGGUGAAGGAACUAGGCAAAAUGGUGCCGUAACUUCGGGAGAAGGCACGCUGAUGGUAGGUGAAGUGACUUGCUCAUGGAGCUGAAAUCAGUCGAAGAUACCAGCUGGCUGCAACUGUUUAUUAAAAACACAGCACUGUGCAAACACGAAAGUGGACGUAUACGGUGUGACGCCUGCCCGGUGCCGGAAGGUUAAUUGAUGGGGUUAUCCUCGCGGAGAAGCUCUUGAUCGAAGCCCCGGUAAACGGCGGCCGUAACUAUAACGGUCCUAAGGUAGCGAAAUUCCUUGUCGGGUAAGUUCCGACCUGCACGAAUGGCGUAAUGAUGGCCAGGCUGUCUCCACCCGAGACUCAGUGAAAUUGAACUCGCUGUGAAGAUGCAGUGUACCCGCGGCAAGACGGAAAGACCCCGUGAACCUUUACUAUAGCUUGACACUGAACACUGGUCCUUGAUGUGUAGGAUAGGUGGGAGGCUUUGAAGUGUGGACGCCAGUCUGCAUGGAGCCAUCCUUGAAAUACCACCCUUUAAUGGCUGGUGUUCUAACGUGGGCCCGUGAUCCGGGUUGCGGACAGUGUCUGGUGGGUAGUUUGACUGGGGCGGUCUCCUCCUAAAGAGUAACGGAGGAGCACGAAGGUCAGCUAAUCCUGGUCGGACAUCAGGAGGUUAGUGCAAUGGCAUAAGCUGGCUUGACUGCGAGCGUGACGGCGCGAGCAGGUGCGAAAGCAGGUCAUAGUGAUCCGGUGGUUCUGAAUGGAAGGGCCAUCGCUCAACGGAUAAAAGGUACUCCGGGGAUAACAGGCUGAUACCGCCCAAGAGUUCAUAUCGACGGCGGUGUUUGGCACCUCGAUGUCGGCUCAUCACAUCCUGGGGCUGAAGUAGGUCCCAAGGGUAUGGCUGUUCGCCAUUUAAAGUGGUACGCGAGCUGGGUUUAGAACGUCGUGAGACAGUUCGGUCCCUAUCUGCCGUGGGCGCUGGAGAAUUGAGGGGGGCUGCUCCUAGUACGAGAGGACCGGAGUGGACGCAUCACUGGUGUUCGGGUUGUCAUGCCAAUGGCAUUGCCCGGUAGCUAAAUGCGGAAGAGAUAAGUGCUGAAAGCAUCUAAGCACGAAACUUGCCCCGAGAUGAGUUCUCCCUGACUCCUUGAGAGUCCUGAAGGAACGUUGAAGACGACGACGUUGAUAGGCCGGGUGUGUAAGCGCAGCGAUGCGUUGAGCUAACCGGUACUAAUGAACCGUGAGGCUUAACCUU